UACGGGGGGGGCAAGCGUUGUUCGGAAUUACUGGGCGUAAAGGGCGUGUAGGCGGCCAACUAAGUCGAACGUGAAAUCCCCGGGCUCAACCCGGGAACUGCGUCCGAUACUGGAAGGCUUGAAUCCGGGAGAGGGAUGCGGAAUUCCAGGUGUAGCGGUGAAAUGCGUAGAUAUCUGGAGGAACACCGGUGGCGAAGGCGGCAUCCUGGACCGGCAUUGACGCUGAGGCGCGAAAGCCAGGGGAGCAAACGGG
RNAcentral lists this ribosomal RNA (253 nucleotides) under uncultured bacterium. RNAcentral's name for it is "partial 16S ribosomal RNA". It matches the Rfam family "Bacterial small subunit ribosomal RNA", at positions 524 to 776 of the family's 1533-position model. The record is from RNAcentral.